UCGACAAUUGUGUUAUCUGAGACCGAUCAAGUCUCUACGGAGACCGAUGAGAUUGCAUUGAAGCACUCGGAUCAGGCAUGCGCGUGCAGAAGACGCUAUGGUGUAACUGCUUUAUACAGGAGAAUGUAACUACGCGUAGUAUGACGUACUGUAGAUAGAUCGCUACUCGUGCAGCAGCGCGUAUACGAGAUCAGCGUAUCCGAUCAUGGGUUUAAAGGUCGCAGCGUCAUAGUCAGAGUGAAAUCUACCGCUCAACGGUAGCAUGCGUUUGAUACUGAUGGACUUGAGUAUAGUGAAGUAGUUAGAAUGUGUAGUGUAGCGGUGAAAUGCAUAGAUAUUACACAGAAUACCGAUUGCGAAAGCAGAUUACUAACUGUAUACUGACGCUGAGGGACGAAAGCGUGGGUAGCGAACAGGAUUAGAUACCCUGGUAGUCCACGCCGUAAACGAUGGAUACUAGCUGUUCGGCCAACAAUGGUUGGUUGAGUGGCUAAGCGAAAGUGAUAAGUAUCCCACCUGGGGAGUACGCUCGCAGGAGUGAAACUCAAAGGAAUUGACGGGGGCCCGCACAAGCGGUGGAGCAUGUGGUUUAAUUCGAUGAUACGCGAGGAACCUUACCAGGGCUUAAAUGUAGGUUGCAUAAACCAGAGAUGGUUUUUUCUUCGGACCACCUACAAGGUGCUGCAUGGUUGUCGUCAGCUCGUGCCGUGAGGUGUCAGGUUAAGUCCUAUAACGAGCGCAACCCCUGUUGUUAGUUGCCAGCAAGUAAAGUUGGGUACUCUAACGAGACUGCCGGUGCAAACCGCGAGGAAGGUGGGGAUGACGUCAAAUCAUCACGGCCCUUACGUCCUGGGCUACACACGUGCUACAAUGGCCGGUACAGCGAGCAGCCACUACGCGAGUAGGAGCGAAUCUAUAAAACCGGUCUCAGUUCGGAUCGCAGUCUGCAACUCGACUGCGUGAAGCUGGAAUCGCUAGUAAUCGGAUAUCAGCCAUGAUCCGGUGAAUACGUUCCCGGGCCUUGUACACACCGCCCGUCAAGCCAUGGAAGCUGGGGGUACCUGAAGUCGGUGACCGCAAGGAGCUGCCUAGGGUAAAACUAGUAACUGGGGCUAAGUCGUAACAAGGUAACCGUA
RNAcentral lists this ribosomal RNA (1136 nucleotides) under uncultured marine bacterium. RNAcentral's name for it is "bacterial SSU rRNA". It matches the Rfam family "Bacterial small subunit ribosomal RNA". The record is from RNAcentral.